RNAcentral lists this ribosomal RNA (351 nucleotides) under Sesamia penniseti. RNAcentral's name for it is "partial 12S small subunit ribosomal RNA". Lineage: Eukaryota; Metazoa; Arthropoda; Insecta; Lepidoptera; Noctuidae. The record is from RNAcentral.
AAAAUUUAAAAUAAAAAUACUAAAAUAGUAAAUAAAUAUUUAUUGAAACUUAAAUAAUUUGGCGGUAUUUUAGUUCAUUUAAAGGAAUCUGUUUAAUAAUUGAUAUUCCACGAAUAAAUUUACUUAAUUUAUAAUUUUGUAUAUCGUUGUUAUAAAAAUAUUUUUUAAUAAAAUUAAUAUUUAAAAAUUAAUAAGAUAAAUUAAAUCAGAUCAAGAUGCAGAUUAUAAUUAAGAAUAUAAUGGAUUACAAUAAAUUUAUUUAAAUGAAUUUUAAUUUGUAAUAUUUAAUUGAAGGUGGAUUUAAAUGUAAUUUUAUUUAAUUUAAUAAAAUGAUUAAAAAUUAAAAUAUGC